GAGGGUAUAGCUCAGUGGUAGAGUGUGUGCUUAGCAUGCAUGAGGUUCUGGGUUCAAUCCCCAGUACCUCCA
RNAcentral lists this transfer RNA (72 nucleotides) under Camelus bactrianus (Bactrian camel). It matches the Rfam family "tRNA". From Rfam's summary of the family: Transfer RNA (tRNA) molecules are approximately 80 nucleotides in length. Their secondary structure includes four short double-helical elements and three loops (D, anti-codon, and T loops). Further hydrogen bonds mediate the characteristic L-shaped molecular structure. tRNAs have two regions of fundamental functional importance: the anti-codon, which is responsible for specific mRNA codon recognition, and the 3' end, to which the tRNAs corresponding amino acid is attached (by aminoacyl-tRNA synthetases). tRNAs cope with the degeneracy of the genetic code in two manners: having more than one tRNA (with a specific anti-codon) for a particular amino acid; and 'wobble' base-pairing, i.e. permitting non-standard base-pairing at the 3rd anti-codon position. The record is from Rfam by way of RNAcentral. Lineage: Eukaryota; Metazoa; Chordata; Mammalia; Artiodactyla; Camelidae. RNAcentral also lists the same sequence under 3 other names.